GGGGCUGAUUCUGGAUUCGACGGGAUUUGCGAAACCCAAGGUGCAUGCCGAGGGGCGGUUGGCCUCGUAAAAAGCCGCAAAAAAAUAGUCGCAAACGACGAAAACUACGCACUAGCAGCUUAAUAACCUGCUUAGAGCCCUCUCUCCCUAGCUUCCGCUCUUAAGACGGGGAUCAAGAGAGGUCAAACCCAAAAGAGAUCGCGUGAAUACCUAGCUUGGGGUUGAAGCGUUAAAUCUAAUCAAGCUAGUUUGUUCGUGGCGUGUCUAUCCGCAGCGGGCAAAUGAAUUUAAAGAUUAGACUAAGCAUGUAGUACCGAGGAUGUAGAAAUUUCGGACGCGGGUUCAACUCCCGCCAGCUCCACCA
RNAcentral lists this transfer-messenger RNA (364 nucleotides) under Enterobacteriaceae (enterobacteria). Its description in RNAcentral is "Providencia_B sneebia Standard tmRNA". It matches the Rfam family "transfer-messenger RNA". Rfam says of the family: Bacterial tmRNA, also known as 10Sa RNA or SsrA, is named for its dual tRNA and mRNA-like properties. Its role is to liberate the mRNA from a stalled ribosome. RNAcentral also lists the same sequence under 1 other name. Lineage: Bacteria; Pseudomonadati; Pseudomonadota; Gammaproteobacteria; Enterobacterales. The record is from RNAcentral.